This 202-nucleotide ribosomal RNA is filed under the name Mortierella sp. RNAcentral's name for it is "partial large subunit ribosomal RNA". It matches the Rfam family "Eukaryotic large subunit ribosomal RNA", at positions 82 to 279 of the family's 3401-position model. The record is from RNAcentral. Lineage: Eukaryota; Fungi; Mortierellomycota; Mortierellomycetes; Mortierellales; Mortierellaceae.
AGUAACGGCGAGUGAAGCGGGAUGAGCUCAAAUUUAAAAUCUGGCUGGUUUGCUAGUCCGAAUUGUAGUUUAUAGAAGCGUUUUCGGUGGCAGCCUGGGUAUAAAUCCUUUGGAAUAGGGUAUCAUAGAGGGUGAGAAUCCCGUCUUUGACUCAGUGCAUGCUACUAUGUGAUACGUUUUCAAAGAGUCGAGUUGUUUGGGA